UCACUUUCAACAACGGAUCUCUAGGCUCUCGCAUCGAUGAAGAACGUAGCGAAGUGCGAUAAGUAAUGUGAAUUGCAGUAUUCCGUGAAUCAUCGAACCUUUGAACGCAUAUUGCACUUUCUGGUAUUCCGGAAAGUAUGCCUGUUUGAGGGUCAGUU
This 158-nucleotide ribosomal RNA is filed under the name uncultured Glomus. Its description in RNAcentral is "5.8S ribosomal RNA". It matches the Rfam family "5.8S ribosomal RNA". From Rfam's summary of the family: 5.8S ribosomal RNA (5.8S rRNA) is a component of the large subunit of the eukaryotic ribosome. It is transcribed by RNA polymerase I as part of the 45S precursor that also contains 18S and 28S rRNA. Functionally, it is thought that 5.8S rRNA may be involved in ribosome translocation. Lineage: Eukaryota; Fungi; Glomeromycota; Glomeromycetes; Glomerales; Glomeraceae. The record is from RNAcentral.